Molecule: small RNA, 546 nt
Filed under: Pongo abelii (Sumatran orangutan)
Lineage: Eukaryota; Metazoa; Chordata; Mammalia; Primates; Hominidae
Description: retained intron
Source: RNAcentral
AGCCCAUCCCAGGAGAUGUCCUGACAACACCUGUGUACCCUGCAUAGGGUCCCUGAUGGGCCUGGGUGACAUUAUCUCACAGCAGCUGGUGGAGAGGCGGGGUCUGCAGGAACACCAGAGAGGCCGGACUCUGACCAUGGUGUCGCUGGGCUGUGGCUUUGUGGGCCCUGUGGUAGGAGGCUGGUACAAGGUUUUGGAUCGGUUCAUACCUGGCACCACCAAAGUGGAUGCACUGAAGAAGAUGUUGUUGGAUCAGGGGGGCUUUGCCCCAUGUUUUCUAGGCUGCUUUCUCCCACUGGUAGGGGCACUUAAUGGACUGUCAGCCCAGGACAACUGGGCCAAACUACAGCGGGUGAGCUGGGCAGGUGUGGAGAAUGUCUCUGGCUGGCAGGCUGACAGCCCAGGGGAAGGAGACAGGUUUUACAGGGAUAAAAAAGGGGGUAAGUGCAGGUAGAGUCCCAGGCCAUGGAGGAGAGGAGCUGAGGGUUAUGGUGGAGGAAUGUGCUCUUUGAACCCAAGUCUGUGUGUGACAUUCACACUGGGAAA